Molecule: long non-coding RNA, 359 nt
Filed under: Ananas comosus (pineapple)
Lineage: Eukaryota; Viridiplantae; Streptophyta; Magnoliopsida; Poales; Bromeliaceae
Description: long non-coding RNA (ACOM_LNC020991)
Source: RNAcentral
AACCCAAACUCGAUCUCAACUUUUCCCUCUCUUUCUCUCUCUCUCUCUCUCUCUCUCUCUCUCUCUCCUCUCCAUCUCCCAACUCCCUAAACCCUUCCUCCAUUCCUCGCCUCUCUCUCGCUCCCUCGCUCCCCCUAUCCAGGCCCAUCCUCACGCUCUCUCGCCUCCGACCCGCUACCCCCUCUCACGCCCUCUCGCCUCCGACUCGGCACCCCCUCUUACGCCUUCUCACCUCCGACCCGCAACCCCCUCUCACGCUCUCUCUCGCUCAAUCUGUAGGAGGCGAGUUGUAGAAAGUGAGUCCCUCUCUCCAGGCCCAUUCUCACGCCCUCUCGCCUCCGACCCGCCACCCCCUCGGC